AGAGUUUGAUCCUGGCUCAGGACGAACGCUGGCGGCGUGCUUAACACAUGCAAGUCGAGCGGUAAGGCCCUUCGGGGUACACGAGCGGCGAACGGGUGAGUAACACGUGGGUGACCUGCCCUCAGCUUCGGGAUAAGCCUGGGAAACUGGGUCUAAUACCGGAUAGGACUCUGCGCUGCAUGGUGUGGGGUGGAAAGUUUUUUCGGCUGGGGAUGGGCCCGCGGCCUAUCAGCUUGUUGGUGGGGUGAUGGCUUACCAAGGCGACGACGGGUAGCCGGCCUGAGAGGGCGACCGGCCACACUGGGACUGAGACACGGCCCAGACUCCUACGGGAGGCAGCAGUGGGGAAUAUUGCGCAAUGGGCGGAAGCCUGACGCAGCGACGCCGCGUGGGGGAUGACGGCCUUCGGGUUGUAAACCUCUUUCGACCUCGACGAAGCCGUGAGGUGACGGUAGGGGUAGAAGAAGCACCGGCCAACUACGUGCCAGCAGCCGCGGUAACACGUAGGGUGCGAGCGUUGUCCGGAAUUAUUGGGCGUAAAGAGCUCGUAGGCGGUGUGUCGCGUCGGCCGUGAAAACUUGCAGCUUAACUGUGAGCUUGCGGUCGAUACGGGCAUCACUGGAGUUCGGCAGGGGAGACUGGAAUUCCUGGUGUAGCGGUGAAAUGCGCAGAUAUCAGGAGGAACACCGGUGGCGAAGGCGGGUCUCUGGGCCGAUACUGACGCUGAGGAGCGAAAGCGUGGGGAGCGAACAGGAUUAGAUACCCUAGUAGUCC
RNAcentral lists this ribosomal RNA (774 nucleotides) under uncultured bacterium. RNAcentral describes it as "bacterial SSU rRNA". It matches the Rfam family "Bacterial small subunit ribosomal RNA", at positions 8 to 796 of the family's 1533-position model. The record is from RNAcentral.